CAUCAUCGAAAAAACAAAAAAGAAAAAAGAAAAGGAGAAAAGAAAGGCACAGCAUGGGCAAGAGGAAAUCAAGUACAUACUUUGGGGCACCUUUCCCAUGUAUUAUGCUUUUUGAAGAUUCAUCAACGGCAAGAUCUGCCUUAAUCGGAGCAAUAGAAGCAGAAGUUUGUAGAUUCGAAUCUGGAAUUGGAGAAGCAGCAGUAGCAG
RNAcentral lists this unclassified non-coding RNA (207 nucleotides) under Hevea brasiliensis (rubber tree). The record is from RNAcentral. Lineage: Eukaryota; Viridiplantae; Streptophyta; Magnoliopsida; Malpighiales; Euphorbiaceae.